This 601-nucleotide ribosomal RNA is filed under the name uncultured bacterium. Its description in RNAcentral is "bacterial SSU rRNA". It matches the Rfam family "Bacterial small subunit ribosomal RNA", at positions 713 to 1321 of the family's 1533-position model. The record is from RNAcentral.
UUGCGAAGACAGCCCACAAGGCCUUUACUGACGCUAAAGCUCGAAGGUGCGGGUAUCGAACAGGAUUAGAUACCCUGGUAGUCCGCACGGUAAACGAUGGAUGCCCGCUGUUUGCGAUAUACUGUGAGCGGCCAAGAGAAAUCGUUAAGCAUCCCACCUGGGGAGUACGCCGGCAACGGUGAAACUCAAAGGAAUUGACGGGGGCCCGCACAAGCGGAGGAACAUGUGGUUUAAUUCGAUGAUACGCGAGGAACCUUACCCGGGCUUGAACUGCAGGAGAAGGAUACAGAGAUGUUGACGCCCUUCGGGGCUCCUGUGGAGGUGCUGCAUGGUUGUCGUCAGCUCGUGCCGUGAGGUGUCGGCUUAAGUGCCAUAACGAGCGCAACCCUUUUCAUUAGUUGCCAUCAGGUCAUGCUGGGCACUCUGAUGAUACUGCCACCGUAAGGUGUGAGGAAGGUGGGGAUGACGUCAAAUCAGCACGGCCUGACCGGCGGUGUGUACACACCCGUUACAAUGAUUGGUACAGAGAGUCGGUAGGCGCAAAAGUGAUCCAAUCCUUAAAACCAUCCUCAGUCCGAAUCGCAAUGCAAACCACGCCACG